CUCAGAUUUAUACACAAAUGUAUGAAGAUUUAGAUAUUGUUUUGACAGAAAAAUAUUGUUAUUAAUAAUUAAUAAAAUUAACAAAAUUGAGCAAUGCAAUUGUAUUAAUUAGUAAAAGAUAUAUUUUAAAUAGAUAAAAUGUCCAUUGUGGCUCAUCAUCUUAUUGGUUAAAAAAAAACCAUAAAAUUAGCUUUUAAAGAAAAAAAAUUAUCCCAUAUAUACAACCAACCCGAACAAAAAACUUUGGCAUUGGCGAUUAAAGGCAUGCCAACACAGCAGAAGAAUAUACAGAAACUAGCCAUUGGCGCUCACAAAAUCAAAUGUUUAUAUUGUGGGUCACAACACAAAGCUGCCCUUUUUUCUUCAUUGAAGACACAGACAAACAAAUCUCUUCUUCUUCGUCCUCAAAAAUACCCAUUCUCGUUCCUUCUCUCUUUAAAAACUCCUCCCUCUCUCUCUCAACACUCCUCUCUCUCUCUCUCUCUUUCUCUGAUUCUGUUUGAAAAGCUUGCCGCAUUGUUCUUAUCUUGAGAAUUUCGGUUGGGAAAAGAAGCGGUCAUAUAUCCCUGGCGGGAAUCCAACUUCCCAGCAAGUUUUGAAAAAUGAGAUUGAAAACAGAGCACCGGAAAAUGAAGACUUCAUUUCAUAUCCGGUGAGACCCAGCCAGAGUCUGAGAAAGAGACUCCUACAAAAAGUGAAGAAUGUGGAGACGUUUCAUCAAAGGAAGGAACUUCAUGCUAUCGUCGUUCUAGUUUAGUUAAUAUGAAGAAAAUGCAGCAGAGGAGAACGUGAGAACCAUAAGAGCUUAUGUGACAGAAUUGAAGGAACAUGUUGCCAAACUGCAAUACCAAAAGCAGCUACUUGUUUGUUAUAUAUAGUAUUUGCAGUUCAUUUGGCUACUAUAUUUGCCUGUUAUUUUCAUUUGAAUUUAUGUAGUAACUUAGUAUCAGGAAA
This is a long non-coding RNA of Ricinus communis (castor bean), 954 nucleotides long. RefSeq lists it as uncharacterized. The record is from RefSeq and is a predicted model, not a curated record. Lineage: Eukaryota; Viridiplantae; Streptophyta; Magnoliopsida; Malpighiales; Euphorbiaceae. The transcript is spliced from 2 exons.